UUUGGUAAGUGUUCUGGUUCUUUUAUUAUGAAAAUAUGAUCUUUCUGUAUAGCCCUUUACCCUAAUGACUUUGACAGUUGCUCAUAUUUCCUCAGUUCCCCCUUGAGCCACACUGUCUGUUAACUUGAAAGGCCUUUUCUAAAGAAAAUCUUUUUGUAUAAACACAUUGGGUUCAUAGUCAGUAAUGUCCACACUCAUUGUUACCCAUGAUGAUCAUCAGCUAGUAUAAUUUUAAAGGUAUUAAUUUUGGGGUUGUUUAUAAUGCUGAACCAAUGGAAACAAUUUAACUCAUUAAUAUGGAACUGGUUAUAUAAAGUAUGAUAAAAUUAUAUGUUGCAGGGGUCAACACACUUUCUCUGUAAGGGUCGGAUGUAAGCUACGGAGUCUCUGAUGCAGCGUCUCAAUUUUCCUGUUGUAGUAUUAAAACAGAAACAAUAUAUAAAUUAAUAAGCAUCAUAGCUAUGUUUCUGUAAAAUUUUAUUUAGGAGGUAGACCAUAUUAGGCCUGUAGGCCAUAAAUUGCUGGACCCAAUGUAAUGAACUUUCACUCUAUGACUAUUUAAAAAAAUCAAAUAGAAUUAUAUAUAUUGACAAAAAUGUCCAUCAAGUUUUUAUUUUUUUACAAGAGAAACUAUAUAAGCUGGGCAUGAUGGUGCAUCCCUUGUAAUCCUUGUGACUCAGGAGACCAAGGCAGGAGAUUUGUAAGAUAGAGGCCAGCCCAGGCAACUUAGUGAGAAUCUGUCUAAAAAUAAAAACAAAAAGAUGCAGAGUGUGGUGUUGCAGUCCUAUAAUCCUGGUGGCUUGGUUUGGGAGGCUUCUGCAGGAGGAUCACAAGUUCAAGACCAGCCUCAGCAACUUAGCAAGGCACUAAGCAAUUUAGCAAGAGAGAGACCCUGUCUCAAAAUAAAAAAGGGCUGGGGAUGUGGCACCAUGGUGAAGUGCCCCUUCAUUAAAUACCCAAUAACUCCUUCCCAAAAAAUAAAUAAAUAAACAAUAAAAACAAAGAGCUAGGGAUAUUGUUCAGUGGUAGCGUGCCCCUGGAUUUACUAACACAAAAGGAAAAUAAGUAAAUAAAUACAUACACACACAUACAUAUAUAUAUAUAUAUAUACAUUUAACAUAUAUUUAAUACAUAUAUUAAUAUAUAUAUAUUUAACAUAUAUAUAUAUAUAUAAUUUGGUCAAAAUUCCACAUACACACUUUGUUUGUAGCACUGGGAACUGGAUCCAGGGACACUUUGUAUCUGAUAUAAAUCCCCAGCCCUUUUUAAAUUUUAUUUAAGACCGGACUUUACUAAGUUGCACAGGCUGGCCUUGAACUUGAGAUCUUCCUGCCUUAGCCUGUGAGUAGCUGGUACUACACAUGUGCUACUAUGCCCAGCCACAUACCUAUAUUUGUAUGGGUCAGAAAGAGCCUGAAAAGACACAUGCUCAACUUUUAACAGUAGCCAGACCACAUUAGGGCAGGUAGACACUUUUCCUUACCUUAUUAUUUUUUUUUUUUAAUUUUUUAGUUGUACACAAUAUCUUUAUUUUGUUUAUUUUUAUGUGGUCUGAGGAUUGAACCCAGGGCCUCGCACAUGCUAGGCAAGCGCUCUACCACUGAGCCACAAUCCCAGCCCAUCCUUACCUUAUUAUUGAAUAUUAUGUUGUGAGAGAGCCUUGCCUUUGAUAUAAUUAAAUAAAAUGCAACUAGGAUUUGUUUUUGUGUUUUUUUGUUUGGUUUGGUUUGAUCUCGGUACCAGGGAUUGAACUCAGGGGCACUCAACCACUGAGCCACAUCCCCUACUCUAUUUUAUAUUUUAUUUAUUUAGAGAUAGGGUUUCACCAAGUUGCUUAGUGCCUAGUUUUUGUUGUGGCUGGCUUUGAACUUAUGAUCCUCCUACCUCAGCCUCCUGCGCUGCUGGGAUUACAGGCUUGGGCCACCAUGCCCAGCUUGGGAUUUGUUUUAAAAGUUUAAAAAAAAAAAAAAAAAAAAAGUUAGCCUUAAUAAUUAUGUAUAUAAGCUUGUAUUUUACAUAAAAUCUAAGAACUUCACAAUUAAAAUAACUCCCAAUCAUCAUUAACAAAGUGACUAUAACCUCAGCUACUUAUGGCUUUAAAUGGGAGUUUAUUUAUUUAUUUUGUAUCUUUUGGUGGCAGAAAUGGGACCCAGGGGCACUUUACCACUGAGCCACAUCCCCAACCGGGUCUUGCUAAUUUGCUUAGUUUUGAUAAAUUGCUGAUGCUGACCUUGUACUUGCAAUCUUCCUGCCUCAGCCUCUUGAGCCGCUGGGAUUACAGGCAUGCACCACCAUGCCCAGUUGUAAAUGGGGGUUUAGACAGAUUCAUGGUCAUAAUAAGGGAUAUUUAAUUGAAAAGUCAGAUCAAUGCCUUAGCUGGGAACCAGGAGCUGUAUCUGGAGGCAGGUUCUGCAGAUCCUGGGGACAGCCUCAGCAAUGCUGUCAUGUCAAGCAUCUUUCUAGAUCUUCAGGGUCUCAGGAAUGUGCAGCAGCUUCCAGCUUCCUGGUCAUUAACUGCAUUUGCUCCUACCAGAUUUCUCCUUUGCCAAGAACCCUCUCCAGGCCAGGUCCUAAAGCAGGAAGAGGACUCAUGCACUUUCACAGCCAUAGCAGGAAGAAAACUAUACAUAGAUAAAUACACACCACACACAUGAAGGCAGUACUGAGUCUCACCCUAUGUACUUUAUGGAAAAUGUCCUGGAUGCUUUAGAAUCCUGCUUUGGAACUUCAAACAGAGAAAUGAAGUCACAUAAAUGAGUAAAAUUUUUUAUUUUAUGUUACAACUUCUAUAAUUGCCCAGGUAUCUGAAGUCUUGCUAAUUCUCCCUCUGAAAUAUCUUUUACAUCUUUCUCGCUUUCCUAUUCCUAUAGUCAGUGGUGUGUGAUGGAACUUGAAAGAGCCAAUACUUAAUUUUCAGAAAGUGGUCAAGUCGGUUAUUAUAUGGUUGACAUCUUGAAAUAUUGGUAAUAUUGGUAAUAUUCAUACCACAAAAAUCAGCAAAUGAUACACAUCAACUGCUUCUCAUCUUUAGCCUGAACUGAGCAGAUGGUAGACAUUUACCAGCAUCUCACCACAUAUAGGUCUUUCCCUAAUUUAAGUCUUUAUUACCUUUUUUUUUUUAAGUUGUAGAUGGACACAAUACCUUUAUUUUAUUUAUAAAAACCCAUAUGGGUUCAACCCCAUAUAUAAAUAAAAUAAAGUAUCGAACCCAGUGCCUCACCCAUGCUAGGCAAGCAUUCUACCACUGAGCUACAACCCAAGCCCCUUUAUACUUUUUGCAUGGACUGUUAAAAAAUCUUACUAACCAGUAUUUCUGCACUUGGAUCCUUCUCAUUCUAGCAAAUUUUUAGAGUAUUUUUUACUAUAUGUAACAGAAAACCUCAUUACAGAUUUCUUAAAUAUGAGAAAAAAUUAUAAUUUCACAUACCAAAUAGUUCAAAGAUAGGGCACUUUCAAGAAACCCUACACCUCACAGGCUCACUAAGUGCUCAAAUUCUUUCUAUUUUUCAACAUUGCCCCACUCAUCCUGUUAGUAUUUCCCUUAAUGGCUUCAAGACAACUGUCAUGAUUCAAAUAUCACAUCCUUUCGUAAUGACAUUUAUAUGUUUUCACUACAUACAAUCUUCUAAAAAGCCAGUAAGCAGGUUUCCCCUUGAGUCUCUUUUGACAGAAUCAAAACCCACACUUGGUUUUUGUUUUUUUGUUUGGUACCAGGGAUUGAACCCAGGGGCACUUAACCUCUGAGCCACAUCCCAGCCCUUUUUUAUAUUUAGAGACAGGGUCUUGCUGAGUUGCUUAGGGUCUCACUAAGUUUCUGAAGCUCACUUUGAACUCUUGAUCCUCCUAUCUCAGCCUCCUGAGCCUCUGGCAUUACAAGGCAUGUGCCACUACACCCAGUCCACACUGGUUCUUAAGACAAUCACUAACUAAGGUAAUAGAAUUACCAAGAUUGGUUCAGAUCACUGGUUCCCAACCCUUUAAAAUGAACAUAUUAUUAUAUAUUAAAUAUUUCAUAAUACUCCUCUUUUUUGAAAUGAAAAUCAAAGAUGAUAAAACCUACCCACACACAUAAAAAUAUAAAUCACUGGCUGGGGAUGUGGCUCAAGCGGUAGCGCGCUCGCCUGGCAUGCGUGUGGCCCGGGUUCGAUCCUCAGCACCACAUACAAACAAAGAUGUUGUGUCCACCGAGAACUAAAAAAAUAAAUAAAUAUUAAAAAAAAAGUAUUAAAAAAAAAAUAUAUAUAUAUAUAUAAAAAUCACUAUAAACCCUAACUGGGAUAUAAACCUGAAAUAAAGAUAAUUAUUAAAAAUUAAGGGGCUGAGGACAUAGCCCAGUUGGAAGAGUGCUUGCCUUGCAUACACGAGGCCCUGGGUUCAAUCCCCAGCACCACCACCAAAAAAAAAAAAUUAUAUGUAUGUGCAUUUCGAUAUAUAUGACAAAUUGUAUUAUGGGUCCCCAUUAUUUCUUGCUCUCCCUAUAUCAGAAUUAUACACCUCAGCCUGAUGGCUUGUGACUUACAUUAUCUCAAUUUAGAUAAGGCUUGCUUUACAACUUGCUUUGACCAAUGUUAUAUGAAAGAAAGUGGCACGUCUGAGAAAAGCUUGAAAAGCCAUCAAAUGACUCCAGUAUUCCUCUUUUCCUUUGCCAUAAUAACAGUUUUACUUAGCUUUCCAUAUGAAAAAUUGUGGAACAGAUGCAAAAUAGCAACUAAUGUGUAAUAUGAACAACAUAUACAUCUUUGUAGUUAUAAGCCAUUGAGAUUUGGCAAGGGGCUGUUUGUUACCAUAAUAUAACCUAUCAAAAUCUGACUAACACAAUAUGAAAUAAGAUAUUCUAGCAUAUAAAAAAGAAGUCUGCAUUUGAUGAAUGUUUUCACCUAUGUUUUGUGACCCAGCAGCUUUAGAUAAACACUGAUACCAAUGAAAGAAUUUAGAAACCAAGAUAUUUCUAUUAGUCCCACGAUUUUCUGCAGUGGUGAUCAACUCUUAGUGAAGCUGUAAGUUAAAAAAAAAAAAAAAAAAGCAAAAAAGCAUCCUACCAGGAACUGUGGCACACACCUAUAAUCCCAGCUGCUAAGCCAGCCUCAGCAACAGCAGGUGCUAAGCAACUCAGUGAGACCCUGUCUCUAAAUAAAAUACCAAAUAAAGGGGGUGGGGUGGGGAUGUGGCUCAGUGGUUGAGUGCCCCUGAGUUCAAUCCCCAGUACUCCACCCAAAAUAAGCAUCUUUCAAUUUAUAUAGUAGUUUACAUCCUGGAAAAUGAAGUCUAUAAUAAAAUUGGGCAAAAUUGGUUGCUGCCAGACUUAUAUAAUUAUGAAGAAAUCCUUCAUCUACAUGAAUGUUAAGUCAUGGGUCUAUUUAUACAAAGUUAAAAAACGGGCUGGGCACAAGGGCACACACUGUAAUCCCAGCAACUCUGGAAGCUAAGGCAGGAGGAUCACAAGUUCAAAGCCAGCCUCAACAACUUAAAUGAGACCCUCAGCAAAUUGGCAAGACCCUGUCUCAAAAGAUAAAAAGGGCUAGGGAUGUAGUUCAGUGGUAAAGUCUCCCUGGGUUCAAUCCCCAGUAACAAAAAAUUCUCAAACAUAUACAUGCUGUUAGAACAUACAUGAAUGUGUGACUGGAAGAAGGCACUAAGUGUGUUCAGUUUGUGAAGAUUAAUCAACUGUACACCAAUAUAUAUUUUUCUAUAUGUAUAUUACACUAUACUCACAAUCAUGCAGGGCGUGGGACAAAUCUUUGAUGUGUGGGUUUGUCUUAUGUAUUACAGUAUAUGAAGCAUUUCUGGUCAUUGUCCAUGAACUGUCAGUAGGUAGUCUCCCUAAAUAAUUGACAACACCAAACACAAUUUUAUCACAAAUUUCUCUAACAGUGAACCCCUGGGUUCCUUAAGUUAUCCUAAUCAAGCCUCACUCCCUGGGCUUGUCUGCUUGAAGCUCAUUGACUACCUGAUAUCUAAAUAAAAUUAGUCUUUCAUUGGUCAGUCUUCUCAGGCAGGGUAGAAGGGAAUGAGCGGUAGGUGUUAUUGUAGUAAGACCCUGUCUCUAAAUAAAAUAUUAAAAAAAAAAAAAAAUAAGGGCUGGGGAUGUGGCUCAGUGGUUGAGUGCCCCUGAGUGCCUCUGGUAGUGGUAAUGAUGAUGGUGGUAGUCAUAGCAAUGGUGGAGGUGGUGGUGAUAGUAGAGGUGGUGUUAAUGGUGAUGAUGGUGGAGGUGAUGAUAGAGGUGACAGCAGUGGUGGUAGCAAUGAUUGGUUAGUUAACCAUCUGUGUCUGCCACAGAAUCUUCCACACACAUUCUCACCAAUAUCUCAAAUCACUUUGUCCUCAUUUUCCAGAAUCUGCAGUGGCUUCCAAUCAUCUACAGAAUAAAACACACUCACUUAUCUUUCUAGACUAUUUUAAGGCUGAUUUUAUUCUCACUGAACGUUGCCUUUUCCCUUCACUUAACAUGCUCUGGAGUCACAAUGCAAUGCUUCUUCUGUUGAGAAAAUCCUGCUCCCAUUCUUACUUCUUUAUUCAAAUGCUUCCUCUUCCACUAAGAAACUUCUAUCACAGAGUUAAUUUCUCCUUUGUUUACCUGCUAUGGGUUGUUUGGUUUUUUUGUUUGUUUGUUUGUUUUUGUUUUUUGGGUUUUUUUAGUAUUUUUUAGUUGUAGAUGGACACACUACCCUUAUUUUAUUUAUUUAUUUUUUAAUGUGGUUCAGAGGAUUGAACCCAAUGCCUCACAUGUGCUAGGCAAGCGCUCUGCCACUGAGCCACAACCCCAACCCCUGGGUAUUUUACUUAUCUCUCUCCAGCUUUUUCUUCAUAGUAAGUUAGCACAAAUCUUUUACAGCCUCCACAAACUUACUAUAGUGAUAGGCACUCACUGGGUGCUCAAAAAAAUGCUGUUGAGUUAAAUUGAACAAGAACACAGCUACUGAAUUUCACAGAAAUCAAGAACCCAAUAUCCAAAUAUUUUAACUGGUUGAGACCUAUAGUUUUUCCUCUGAUUUGAAUUCUAAAUGUCCCUCAGAGGUCUAUGUGUUGAAGGCCUGUUCCCCAGGUGAUAGUAUAGAGAUGUGGUAGAAACUUUUAAUGAGAUGGGUCCUAGUAGAAUGCCAAAGUGCAUUGUGGGACCCCUGGCUCUUCCUCUUUCUCUUUUGCUUCUUGGCCAUGAGGUGAAGAUGAGCGAUUUUGCUCUACCAUGUACUCCCACCAUCAUGUGCAUAGCAUAGAGGCCCGUAUCAACAGGGCCAAUCAAUCAUGUGCAGGAAUUUCUAAAACUGUGUGCUCAAAUAAAUCUUUUCUCUUUUUAA
This is a long non-coding RNA of Marmota monax (woodchuck), 7295 nucleotides long. RefSeq lists it as uncharacterized. The transcript has 2 exons. NCBI's taxonomy places the organism in Eukaryota, Metazoa, Chordata, Mammalia, Rodentia, Sciuridae. The record is from RefSeq and is a predicted model, not a curated record.